RNAcentral lists this ribosomal RNA (504 nucleotides) under uncultured bacterium. Its description in RNAcentral is "partial 16S ribosomal RNA". It matches the Rfam family "Bacterial small subunit ribosomal RNA", at positions 30 to 523 of the family's 1533-position model. The record is from RNAcentral.
AUUGAACGCUGGCGGCAGGCCUAACACAUGCAAGUCGAACGGUAGCACAGAGAGCUUGCUCUCGGGUGACGAGUGGCGGACGGGUGAGUAAUGUCUGGGAAACUGCCUGAUGGAGGGGGAUAACUACUGGAAACGGUAGCUAAUACCGCAUAACGUCGCAAGACCAAAGAGGGGGACCUUCGGGCCUCUUGCCAUCAGAUGUGCCCAGAUGGGAUUAGCUAGUAGGUGGGGUAACGGCUCACCUAGGCGACGAUCCCUAGCUGGUCUGAGAGGAUGACCAGCCACACUGGAACUGAGACACGGUCCAGACUCCUACGGGAGGCAGCAGUGGGGAAUAUUGCACAAUGGGCGCAAGCCUGAUGCAGCCAUGCCGCGUGUAUGAAGAAGGCCUUCGGGUUGUAAAGUACUUUCAGCGGGGAGGAAGGUGUUGUGGUUAAUAACCGCAGCAAUUGACGUUACCCGCAGAAGAAGCACCGGCUAACUCCGUGCCAGCCGCCGCCGUAA